Pangasianodon hypophthalmus (striped catfish) is the source of this 2291-nucleotide RNA transcript. It is a transcript of the gene named organic anion transporter X, with no coding region annotated. Lineage: Eukaryota; Metazoa; Chordata; Actinopteri; Siluriformes; Pangasiidae. The record is from RefSeq and is a predicted model, not a curated record. The transcript has 10 exons.
GUGUCACCGAGUUUCUGUCCUGCACAAGCUCUUUACUGAAAUUCCUCUGCCACGGAUUUGAGACUUUAAGAGUCAGAUUUGAACAAGAUUACAGACUGAAAGUGCAACGUCCACAGUGCAGAAUCUCAGCCACUUUAACACACACAAGUUUCAUUUAACAUGUUCAGUUUUUGCUAUUUUGACACUGAACCAGCUGCAGCGUCGUUUUAUUUUAUUUCCGAUAAACAGCAGAUGUUCCUCUCCAGGGAGCGAGAUGUGACCGGCCUUUUCGACAACCAUUAACCCCAAAAAUUAAUCAUUGCAGGGGUCGUAGUUUAUUUGUGUUUGAGCAAUGUCAGAACACAGGGUGCGAGACUUUACGAGGUGUUAAGAAGAAGAGGACGACGACGUGGGACAGAUCAGGACUGAAAGAGAAGAAAACAUGGGUUUUGCAGAUCUUCUAGAAGAAGUCGGUGGACUCGGACGCUUUCAGCUGAUCCACAUCACACUGUUGUCCAUCCCGGGUCUCCUGAUGGCCAGUCAGAAUUUACUCAAUAACUUCACGGCAGGAAUCCCGUCGCAUCACUGCACCAUCCCCAACCUGACGUCCGCCAUGAACCUGUCCGUGUCUGAGGACGACGAGAUCUCUCUGCUGAGAGCCUUCAUUCCUGAGGCCCAGUCUCAGCUCUCAAAAUGCAGCAGGUACGUUCAGCCCCAGUGGCACCUGAGCGGACGAAAUCACACUCACUCUGGGAAUCUGAACUUGACUGAAGUGGAGACAGAGAGCUGCGUGGACGGAUGGACUUACAAGAGGACGGAGUUUAUCUCCACGAUCGUGUCCGAGUGGGAUCUGGUGUGCAGUCUCCGGCCACUCAAACAGAUGAGUCAGACCAUCUACAUGGGCGGAGUUCUCACAGGUGCCAUUAUUUUCGGAGGGCUCUCAGACAGGUUUGGGAGGAAGGUGUUACUCACCUGGUCGUAUUUUCAGUUGGCUGUGUUGGGGACCUUCACUGCUUUUUCUCCAUCGUACCUGGCCUACUGCACCUUCCGCUUCCUCACCGGCAUGGCUGUGUCCGGGGUGAUCCUCAACACCGUGUCCCUCAAGGUGGAAUGGAUCCCCACGAAGGCCCGCACCCUGGUGGGUUCCCUCUCCUCCUUGUUCUUCACCUUUGGUCAGAUGAUUCUGGCAGGAAUUGCGUACAGUCUGAAGGACUGGAGGAAACUGCACGUGGCCGUCUGCUCCCCCUUUUUCAUCACGUUCCUCUACAGCUGGUGGUUCUCGGAGUCGGCGCGAUGGUUGGUGUUGAGCGGCCGCUCGGGUGAAGCUCUGCAGCAGCUCCACCGUGUGGCCAGGAUCAACGGCAAGCACGAAGCGGUGGAGAAAAUCACACUGGAGGUGCUGCAGUCACACAUGCAGAAAGAACUUCAGUCCAGUAAGACGGUGUUCACGGUGUACGACCUGCUGCGCACUCCCGUCAUGAGGAGGAUCUCCCUGUGCCUCAUAGCCGUCUGGUUCUCCACCAGUUUUGCGUAUUACGGUCUGGCUAUGGACCUGCAGAAGUUCGGCGUGAACAUCUACCUGAUGCAGAUAAUAUUCGGGGUGGUGGAUUUUCCUGCUAAACUGGUGGCUCUGGUCAUGUUGAGCUUUUUGGGUCGGCGUUUAACUCAGGGCACGUGUCUGCUCGCAUCCGCCUCCGUCAUCUUCACCAACAUCUUCAUCCCUAAAGACAUGCAGAUCUUGAGGACGACGCUGGCUGUGCUGGGGAAAGGGUUCACCUCCGCCUCCUUCACCUGUGUGUACCUGUUCACUGGAGAACUUUAUCCUACAGUCAUCAGACUGGGAUGGGUUUCGCCUCCACUAUGGCUCGUAUCGGCUCCAUGGCAGCUCCAGCGGUUCUUAUCCUUGAUGAAGUGUUCCCUGCGCUGCCCAGCGUUGUUUACGGAGCGGCGGCUGUAAUCGCCGGAGUCACUGCGUUUCUGCUUCCUGAAACUCUGAACGUGCCGCUGCCUGACACCAUCGAGGACGUGGAGGAGAAAUGGUCAAAGAAAGCGCGCAGGUUUCAGGAGCAGGUGCAGCGCGAGACCCUGGCACUCGACACACUCCGUCACGCUGCAGAGGAGAGUGAGGAGCGACGGUCGAGUGGACUCAACGCUCUCUAACACACUCUCUAACACACUCUCUAACGCUCUCUAACACACUCUCUACACACUCCGUUUAUCACUCCUUUUAUUCACACUGAUCCUGCGUCAGGCUUUAGCCUUCCUGUAGUGUACAAGAGACGAAAAUAAAAAGAAUGGAAACAUCACAGUCA